Molecule: long non-coding RNA, 1929 nt
Filed under: Nicotiana benthamiana
Lineage: Eukaryota; Viridiplantae; Streptophyta; Magnoliopsida; Solanales; Solanaceae
Description: long non-coding RNA (NBEN_LNC036725)
Source: RNAcentral
UCUCACAACCCUUCAAACACUCAGAUGUAAUGCCGCCAUGGGCCAUCGUCCGCCACCUGCCAGAAAUCGCCUAUGGCGGCGGGCGGCAGUGAAUCAUGCCCAAAUUUACACCAGAACAUCUCCUUACCCCCAUAUUUCCAAAUCCCCAUUCCCCUUCCAUCAAAUCCGUCCUGAGUUGCUCAAAUUUUAGAUCAAAACUCCAAACCAUAGCGUCGCCCUUGUUUUCUCUGGUGGCGGCGCCACCAGCAAUCAACCCCAUACUAACACCAGUUGACCACCAGGCCUCCCUCAUCCCAAAUCCAUACUCCACUUCUCUAUAAUUACACCGGAAAUCCUUAAAUAUAGGAUCAAAGUUAAACCCUAAUUCCCAAAAGCCACUGAUUCAAGUUCGUUUUGAUGUUUUGGGGCCUAUUUUGAUGUUUUAUGUUUUCUUAAUAAGAACACAUGAUUAAUAUCAUAGUUGGCGGAAAAAUCCAAGAUGUUGAAGAUUCUGACUUUAGUGUUCAAGUCUUAGUAGGUAUUUUACUUUCUUCUUUUUGGUUCAAUCAAUCUUUCAUUCUUCUUUUAUUUUUAUUCUCGCCUGGAUUUAUUUUUCAUUAUUUUAGUUUUCCAGAAUUUUUGUUUUGUUUUGUUUGUUUGUUUUGUUUUUUUGUUUGUUCAUGCAUGACUAGUCCUACAUUUUGUAGUAUAAAUAGCCUAUGAAUUAGCUGAGUUUACCCAGUUAGUUAGUCUUGUUAACAAAUAUGUUUAGUUUUGAUUUUAAUGGUCGCCAUGCUUGCAUACUUCUGGUAAUUCGAUUUUUCAAUCGGGCCAAUUGUUUGUUUAAGUGUUAUGAUCUCUGACCCAUUUAGGAAAAGAAGGGUCAGCCCGAUUGGUUAAAGGCCCGUGUCUGAUUUGCCUUGGGUCAGUCUGACCCGAUUUGGUCUUCAAGGCAAUUUUUAGAAGUUUUAAUGGGUAAUUUAGGUAGUUCAAGUUAGGGAAUCUUUUCAUAACAGAUUUAGAAGCUUCUAGUGGGAGUUUUAAUUUGAAUUUUAGGUUUUUGGUAGUAUAACUUGAGUAAAAAGUCAGGAUAUUAAGGAUCUUGAAGCUAAAAAUAGAAAUUAAAAAGGGACUAAAAAGGUAGAAUAAAAUAUGCAAGUUGCUGUACUUUCUUGCAUAUAAAAAAAUCCUUUCCUUGCUGCUGAAGGCAUAUUUUGGAAGAUCUAAUAAAACCCUUGAAAACAAAGAUGGCUAUACUAUGAAUUCCUAGCAUUUUUUUGGUUAAAAUCCACCACAUUGCAGCUGGAUUCGGUUUUCUAAUCCUGAGUGUUUAGAUGAAAUUCCUUAAAGGUUCCAUAGUUGAGUCACCUGGUUUAAAAUGAUUUGAGUUCUGGUCCAUCAGGGUCUGGCUUUCAAUUUGUGGUUCUAUUGUUCCAUUACUGAUUUAAGGGAUGGUUCUGAAUUAUUUGGGUCGUGGUUAUUGAAAUUUUGGUGUGGGUUGCUGUUACAUUGUUGAUUCAUGCUGCUGUUGCUUUCUUCUUGUUGCACUCCAGACCUCUGAUCUCUUUUGGUUUCAUCCAGGUACGCUUUUGCAUUCUACUUUAUGUGAAGAUUUAUUUGAGGAAUGAGGAAUGGAAAUUCUACAGUUCAAAACAUGUUUUCAGCUUUCUGCUAUGAGUUUAGCAUUGUCCCUUUCUUUUUUGAUAUUUUACAGCUUUAGUUCAUUUUACUUAUAAUUAACUUAUGAUUUGGGUUAAUGCAAUUUGUUUUCUUGUAUUUAAUUUGGGGUUGUGAGAUGAAGAUUUAGUCAAAAGCAUCGUUUUUCCGUUUUCUUUAGUUUAGGAUGUACAUCGCAGUUUUAUAUUGCUUGAUAAUGAUUUCAUGUAGAGUCGGUCCUUAUAGCAUGCGUAGGCUGGUGACUAAGUAAAUGAUGUGUAGUUUAUUGUGAGG